Molecule: long non-coding RNA, 396 nt
Organism: Peromyscus maniculatus bairdii (prairie deer mouse)
Lineage: Eukaryota; Metazoa; Chordata; Mammalia; Rodentia; Cricetidae
Source: RefSeq, a predicted model, not a curated record
UACUUUGUACAGAUAAAAUGAUUUAAUUAUGUGGCAAGAAGCAUCAGUAAUCACUAGUUGUCUAAAGACAGUCCUUGUAUGGUGAAGAUGCAAGGCAAAAUGAAUCUGUGUGUCCCCUUCAGGAGAUCUGAACAGGUAAUAAAAGAGAAAAAAAGACAGUGGAAGGAGGAAAUACAGUGAAAUGAAAUGAAGAAUUAAAGGGAACCAAAGAAGACUCAAAGGAGGGAGAUGGCUGAAGUGUGAGCAGACCCUCCGACUGGAUGAGACAGUGCAAAGGAGAAACUGAGGCGCUCUGAUAUACAGGGCUUGCAGUCACAAGAACUCUGGGCUGGGAACAGCUUGUAGACUUUGCGUGGUGACAAUCAAUCAAAACAGAAGAAAUGUUAUUCUUCAGCA